GUCUAUGGCCAUGCCACCUUGAAUGUGCCUGAUCCCUUCUGGUCUCGGAAGCUAAGCAGGGUCGGGCCUGGUUAGUACUUGGAUGGGAGACUACAUAGGAAUACCAGGUUCUGUAGGUG
This 119-nucleotide ribosomal RNA is filed under the name Pteropus alecto (black flying fox). The record is from RNAcentral. Lineage: Eukaryota; Metazoa; Chordata; Mammalia; Chiroptera; Pteropodidae.